RNAcentral lists this ribosomal RNA (253 nucleotides) under uncultured bacterium. RNAcentral's name for it is "partial 16S ribosomal RNA". It matches the Rfam family "Bacterial small subunit ribosomal RNA", at positions 524 to 776 of the family's 1533-position model. The record is from RNAcentral.
UACGGAGGGAGCUAGCGUUAUUCGGAAUUACUGGGCGUAAAGCGCACGUAGGCGGCUUUGUAAGUUAGAGGUGAAAGCCUGGAGCUCAACUCCAGAAUUGCCUUUAAGACUGCAUCGCUUGAAUCCAGGAGAGGUGAGUGGAAUUCCGAGUGUAGAGGUGAAAUUCGUAGAUAUUCGGAAGAACACCAGUGGGGAAGGCGACUCGCUGGACUGGUAUUGACGCUGAGGUGCGAAAGCGUGGGGAGCAAACAGG